Molecule: transfer RNA, 70 nt
Filed under: Ictidomys tridecemlineatus (thirteen-lined ground squirrel)
Lineage: Eukaryota; Metazoa; Chordata; Mammalia; Rodentia; Sciuridae
Description: Spermophilus tridecemlineatus (thirteen-lined ground squirrel) tRNA
Rfam family: tRNA
About the family: Transfer RNA (tRNA) molecules are approximately 80 nucleotides in length. Their secondary structure includes four short double-helical elements and three loops (D, anti-codon, and T loops).
Source: Rfam by way of RNAcentral
GGGAUUGUAGCUCAAUGGUUAGAGCGCUUGCCUUGCAUGUGUGAGGCACUGAGUUCAAUUGUCAGCACCA